RNAcentral lists this long non-coding RNA (199 nucleotides) under Lathyrus oleraceus (garden pea). RNAcentral's name for it is "Pisum sativum (pea) long non-coding RNA (PSAT_LNC013080)". Lineage: Eukaryota; Viridiplantae; Streptophyta; Magnoliopsida; Fabales; Fabaceae. The record is from RNAcentral.
GGAGAGUUCCAAUUAGAGGUUUCGGGAUUUUUCAACACUAUUGUUCAGUUCACCACGGUUUUGCAGAAACUCCGUCAAUUUCGGAUUACGCAAUUCACAAAACCUGGGUUCCUCCAAUCAUCAUCAUCAUCAAGCAUUCACCUUUCCAUUAUGAAAUUCCUUAAAUUGAAAACCUUCACAAUUCACAUACUCCUUCAGU